GGUAUGCAGAAACAAGUUUCCAUUUUGUUAUUCACCAAUGUACUAUACCAAUACAUGAGCCGCGUGUUAUCGAAGUAAUUUAGGUCUACAAUUAAUGUUAUAAAGAAAGGGGUUGUUUGACGUUUGGAGUCAUUUUUGGCAAAGAAACAUUACUGAAUAUACAGGUGUGGAACCUAGAGUGUACUGAAGCAGUCAUUUCUGAAACUCGCAUGCUGCAAGUCAACGGGGACAAAUGGGAAGCAUUAAAUUCAGAACAAAUUGAACUUCAUCUUAAAUUUUGAUGAUGGAGUGAUAAUGUGGAAGCAACGGUUAAGUAGAAGCACAUGCCAUCAAUUAGUUGGUGCUUUUCAAAGUUUAUAUAGAUAGAGGAAAGCACCCGGCUUUAUCUCGAAUUAUCAUCACAUGAAACAACUUCAGAAUGAAAUUUUUGUUUGAAUUGCAGAAGAUAAAACCGGGUGCAUGACAGUGAAUUUUUAGAAUUGUACAUUCAGCUCCACUAACAUACUAUUUUUUAGCUUCCGCCAUUCUGCACUAUUAACAAAACGUAGCUUCGUCAGUCCGAAGGAAGAGUGACAAUCUUGGCACUCUGAGUCAUUCCACUAAUACCAUUUGGUCAUUCCCAAUACUAUACCAUCCCCUUAAUACCUUUAAGUAAGAAAAUACAGUAAUAUGCAAUAAGCUCGUACUUUAUCAUUUUUUACUUUUGUGCUUUAAUUGGAUUCAUACUUUUGUGUUUAGAAGUGAAGAGUGAUAGUUUUGUGGUGGUCUUCAUUUUUAUGCUGUCAGCGCUUAAAUUCACGGCUUCAUGGUUGAAGAAAUUGUAGUGAACAAAGUUUGCAGCAGCAUUAACAUCUACUCAAGAAAUUUUGGAGUCAAAUAAUUCCUUGGCUCAGUGUCCACUUUGAUGGCAGUACUGUAAAUCCAUAUGAUUUAUCUUGCAGUGAAAAAAUAUUUUUGCUUUAAUAUUUUCACCAAAGAACUGGCUAUGGACAAGGGUGCGUGGAAGCUUGCUAUCCAUGUGCUAGAGCCAUGAGUUGGUCGCGAGAUCUUAUGGGUUUCACCUCUAGCCUACCCCAACUUGUUUGGGACUAAAGGCUUUGUUGUUGUUGUUGUUUGAUGUGACAACAAGAGCUUAGCCCCCAUAUUUACUCCACCACGCUCAGUUUCUGAAGCUGAAGUUGGUGCAAACUUCACGCAGAGACCUUUGAAGAUGUGCUCAUGCGUACAUAUACUGCCGAAGAAACAAAGGAAGCUUUUCAUGUUGUGCGUAACAGCAUAGAGCUUCUUUCAACUGUUCUUCCAUCUUCCCCUCAGCAGGAUGCUUUGCAGCAACGGGCUUGGCUAUCUGACGCGCGCGUGUUGGAGCAGCCGGUUUCAGACAACGUCAAAACUUUCCUGUUUAAGUAAUUGAGGGGAGAAGGUUUGGCGCACCGGCCCCCCACCCGUUGAAAUCAGGGGGGCUGAAAAGAUUAGGAUCGAGCGUUGUAGCGCUCAGGCACGUAAGAGUUGUUAGAUGUGUAUAGUCUCUUUUCGGUUUAUCCCCAUUGUAUAAGGGGUUUUCUGCACUUUACCACACAUGUAUAUGUAUUGGCCUUUGGCCUUCAGUAAAGUCAGUUGCCCAUU
This is a non-coding RNA of Aegilops tauschii subsp. strangulata, 1623 nucleotides long. Lineage: Eukaryota; Viridiplantae; Streptophyta; Magnoliopsida; Poales; Poaceae. The record is from RefSeq and is a predicted model, not a curated record.